This 71-nucleotide transfer RNA is filed under the name Anelytra multicurvata. Its description in RNAcentral is "tRNA-Val". It matches the Rfam family "tRNA". Rfam says of the family: Transfer RNA (tRNA) molecules are approximately 80 nucleotides in length. Their secondary structure includes four short double-helical elements and three loops (D, anti-codon, and T loops). Lineage: Eukaryota; Metazoa; Arthropoda; Insecta; Orthoptera; Tettigoniidae. The record is from RNAcentral.
CAAAGUAAAGCUUAGUAGUUAAGCAUUUCAUUUACACUGAGGAGGGGUUCGUGCGAUUCGAAUUAUUUUGA